RNAcentral lists this ribosomal RNA (396 nucleotides) under uncultured bacterium. Its description in RNAcentral is "partial 16S ribosomal RNA". It matches the Rfam family "Bacterial small subunit ribosomal RNA", at positions 523 to 918 of the family's 1533-position model. The record is from RNAcentral.
AUACGUAGGUGGCAAGCGUUGUCCGGAUUUACUGGGUGUAAAGGGCGUGUAGGCGGAGAUGCAAGUCAGGAGUGAAAUCUAGGGGCUCAACCCCUAAACUGCUUUUGAAACUGUAUCCCUUGAGUAUCGGAGAGGCAGGCGGAAUUCCUAGUGUAGAGGUGAAAUGCGUAGAUAUUAGGAGGAACACCAGUGGCGAAGGCGGCCUGCUGGACGACAACUGCCGCUGAGGCGCGAAAGAGUGGGGAGCAAACAGGAGGAGAUACCCUGGUAGUCCACGUUGUAAACGAUGAAUACUAGGUGUGGGUGGACUGAUCCCCUCCGUGCCGCAGAUAACACAAUAAGUAUUCCCCCUGUGGAGUGCGCUCUCAAGAUUGAAACUCAAAGGAAUUGACGGGG